RNAcentral lists this ribosomal RNA (446 nucleotides) under uncultured bacterium. RNAcentral describes it as "partial 16S ribosomal RNA". It matches the Rfam family "Bacterial small subunit ribosomal RNA", at positions 338 to 795 of the family's 1533-position model. The record is from RNAcentral.
CCUACGGGUGGCAGCAGUCGAGAAUCAUUCACAAUGGGGGAAACCCUGAUGGUGCGACGCCGCGUGGGGGAAUGAAGGUCUUCGGAUUGUAAACCCCUGUCAUGUGGGAGCAAAUUAAAAAGAUAGUACCACAAGAGGAAGAGACGGCUAACUCUGUUCCAGCAGCCGCGGUAAUCCAGAGGUCUCAAGCGUUGUUCGGAAUCACUGGGCGUAAAGCGUGCGUAGGCUGUUUCGUAAGUCGUGUGUGAAGGGAGCGGGCGCAACCCUCGGACGGCACAUGAGACUGCGAGACUAGAGUAAUGGAGGGGGAACCGGAAUUCGCGGUGUAGCAGUGAAAUGCGUAGAUAUCGAGAGGAACACUCGUGGCGAAGGCGGGUUCCUGGACUUUAACUGACGCUGAGGCACGAAGGCCAGGGGAGCGAAAGGGAUUAGAUACCCUAGUAGUC